UGGGGAAUAUUGGACAAUGGGCGCAAGCCUGAUCCAGCCAUGCCGCGUGGGUGAAGAAGGCCUUCGGGUUGUAAAGCCCUUUUGGCGGGGACGAUGAUGACGGUACCCGCAGAAUAAGCCCCGGCUAACUUCGUGCCAGCAGCCGCGGUAAGACGAAGGGGGCAAGCGUUGUUCGGAAUUACUGGGCGUAAAGGGCGCGUAGGCGGCCUGAUAAGUCAGACGUGAAAGGCCUGGGCUCAACCUGGGAAUUGCGUUUGGGACUGUUGGGCUGGAGAGCGGGAGAGGAUGGUGGAAUUCCCAGUGUAGAGGUGAAAUUCGUAGAUAUUGGGAAGAACACCGGUGGCGAAGGCGGCCAUCUGGACCGUAUCUGACGCUGAGGCGCGAAAGCGUGGGGAGCAAACAGGAUUAGAUACCCCGGUAGUCC
Molecule: ribosomal RNA, 424 nt
Filed under: uncultured bacterium
Lineage: Bacteria
Description: bacterial SSU rRNA
Rfam family: Bacterial small subunit ribosomal RNA
Source: RNAcentral